This 298-nucleotide small nuclear RNA is filed under the name Sorex araneus (European shrew). Its description in RNAcentral is "7SK RNA (ENSSARG00000015859.1)". It matches the Rfam family "7SK RNA". From Rfam's summary of the family: 7SK was discovered as an abundant small nuclear RNA in the mid-70s but a possible function has only recently been suggested. Lineage: Eukaryota; Metazoa; Chordata; Mammalia; Eulipotyphla; Soricidae. The record is from RNAcentral.
GGAUGUGAGGGCGAUCUAGCUGCGACAUCUGUCACCCCAUUGAUCGCCAGGGUUUAUUUGGCUGAUCUGGCUGGCUAGGUGGGUGUCCUCUUCCUCCCUUACUGCUCCAUGUGUAUCCUCCCAGAAGCUGCGCGCUGGGUCAAAGAGGACGGCCUUCCCCGAAUAGAAAUGGACCAGUCUUCGGUCGAGGGUAUGAGAGUAGCUGCGCUCCCCUGCUAGAACCUCCUAACAAGCUCUCAAGAUCCAUCUGAAUUGUAGGUCAAUAAAACUGUUUUUAAAGCACUGUGGUGACAUACUU